Long non-coding RNA from Salarias fasciatus (jewelled blenny), 720 nucleotides. RefSeq lists it as uncharacterized. The record is from RefSeq and is a predicted model, not a curated record. The transcript has 3 exons. Lineage: Eukaryota; Metazoa; Chordata; Actinopteri; Blenniiformes; Blenniidae.
CUACAGCUGUGUUUAUCACCUCCAUGUUUUUGGACACAACUUCUCCUCAGAGAGCCGCCUGCUGUCUCUGUCUGUGUUCGAUCCAACAGCUGUGGUGGUCAGAUGGGUGGUGGUGCCGCUGUCUCUGCUGCUGCUGCAGGGGGCGCUGUGGCUGUACUGUAAGGCCAGCAGGGGGCAGACCGGCAGACCGGGCGGACGCUGAGCGGAGUGCAGUGGAGGGAUGAAGUCGGUCCUCUGAACCUUCCUGCUGUGAAGACCAGAUGGUUUUUUAUGAGCUUUUUCCAGAAAUGAUGAAUCUGAUCACGUUCCUACAGACAGUGGAACAAGGUUCCUUUUCCUUCUGAAGACCGUGGAGAAAAAAAAAGUGUUUUGCCGUAUACUGGACCACGGUGGAUGUCCUUUUUUUAAUCUCCCUUUUUACCCUUUUUACUCCUUUUUCAUUUAUUUUUUAAGUCAUAUCAUGUGUGCUCAUUUAAUCAUAUGUUAUCAUCUGCUCCACUCAGGCUGACUGUGUUUAACUGUUGAGAUAUUUUUUUUGUGAUUGUAAUCCAGCUUAAUAGCUUUUGCAAAAGUUAGCUUUUUCAGCACCAAGGUGAGGCAGGAUGUGGUUUGCAGCAGGAGUUGAACCGUAUGGAACCUCACCAGGUUGUAUUUCGUCCUGAGUGGUUGAUCUGGACCUGAAGAACUCACUUGCUCUCACAUGGGCUGCUUGCAUGUGUU